RNAcentral lists this long non-coding RNA (341 nucleotides) under Bos taurus (domestic cattle). RNAcentral describes it as "long non-coding RNA NONBTAT020041". The record is from RNAcentral. Lineage: Eukaryota; Metazoa; Chordata; Mammalia; Artiodactyla; Bovidae.
UUCUAAGGGAGAAAAUCAACAGUGCUCCGUAGAAGAAAAUUCCCACAUGUAGGCUAAUAUCAGCCUUUUCUUUUUCUUCCAGCUUCUAUGGUUAUAUCAACAAAUAGAAGUUAAAGAAACCACCGGUGCAAGCAUGUUCUGGGGUCUAGGGUAGAACAGCAAAUCAUUGAACAUACCAUGAGUAUUUUGCAUUUGAGGGCAGAAUUUCCUUUGAAGCUCAGUACUCAGUGGGAUUACAGCCUAAAAUACAAUUACAGUAAUUUUAUGAGAAAAGUAAAUGAGAAGGUAAGAGUUGGUUUAGAGGAGGAUGAAGAGGUUUAUUUAAAAUAGAAGUCACAAAU